Pelmatolapia mariae (spotted tilapia) is the source of this 2034-nucleotide long non-coding RNA. RefSeq lists it as uncharacterized. The record is from RefSeq and is a predicted model, not a curated record. Lineage: Eukaryota; Metazoa; Chordata; Actinopteri; Cichliformes; Cichlidae. The transcript has 3 exons.
AGGAUUGUUUGGUCUCAGUCAGACUGCGAGGACUGCUCACACAGACACUGGUGAUCGAUCACCUGAAUUCAUCUCCUCACUUUUGCAGACACCAUGGGUCCUCGGCAGUCCACCAUUCAUAUUACGAACAAGACUCAGGGCUACACCCUUCAAAACCCCAGUCUGCAUCUUGUUAGCGGACUCUGCCAAAUCCCUUUGCCAACAAGACUUGGGCCUUCUGAAUGUGGCAACGCUCUGUUCUCUAAGACUGGCGGCACAGCGCGUGGAUCUGUUGGCGUCUUCACCUACGAUCUCUACGAUGCAGCUGCAGACAGAGCUGAUAAGAAAAUAGGUGUCAUGUUCUCUGUUCCUUUUGACUACGGCCUGUACUCUAACUGGUACGCAGUCGGAGUCUUUGACAGGGAAACAAACUGUGAUAGUGCUCUUUAUCUUAACAUGUAUCACAAUCCUGAGAGAAAGUUUGUCAGAGGAAAAGCUGAUGGUUAUGAUCUGACUCACAGAGAUAUUAAUGUUCUUGUUAAAUCCAGCAUGACAAACUUCAGCGUUGCAACACUGAAAGUUGAAGUACACAACAUUGACUAAAGUAAUUAUGCAAAUAUGAGGUCAGAUUUUUUUAGGGCAGAUCUUGAGAAAAGGCCUGAUCACCCUUCAUUAGUAUUAUUUUUACUUAUCAGGAUAAACAAAUAUAAACUCACAGAUAUUAACUUAAGUUAACGCAGGGUUUCCCCAUCUUCCACAGAAAAUGGUCCUUACAACAUCUACACAAGAGACAUUAGGAAUAGUGACGAAAAAAGGAUCAUGAAUAUAAAAGAAAUACCAGUAAAACACAAUCCUGUUGUAAAAAGGACAUGUGAUUAAUGAUCAGUAUGGCUGUUUAUUUCACAGGUGUGAUUGGUUGAACAGGUAUUAAGUGUUCCAUGUUUGUGGCAGUGUAACGGACUCAUCAGUAGAUCAGAAUCAUUUUCUGAUCACAUGAACACAUUUCACCCAGCAGAUAAUGUCACUGAAAACAUACUUUAAAAGACUCAGUGAAGAAAAAGAAGAAGCUUCAAACUGAUUUUAGACUGAACUCUGGACAUAACCUGCUCCUGACAGUUUGAGUUUAUAUUCUCUCAUCUGCAGCUGUUUGAGAUUGUGAACCUGCUCCGUAGUACAGAAACUCAGGUUAACCCUGAAAUAACCUGAAUGAGCAAAAUUCUCUGGAGUUAAAACCUUUAGUAGUUUAAAAAUAAAGUUUUAACAUCGAAUCAUUAACGAUCAGCUGAGCAGGUCACACGUGCUUGCAUAGAUGGGAUGUAAUGAGUUGGAUUAUUGAUGAAAUCAGACUGAAACUCUCCACCAAAUGUUUUUAGAAAAUCAUCACUAAACUUUGAGGAAGUAAUGGAAGGUUUCAAGGAUUUAAUAAUCUUUUAUUGGUUCUGCUGUAAAUACUUUCUGAGAAACAUGUCAUGGUCCUGAGUCUGACGACUCAGUGUUUUGUGUUUCUUUAUAUCAUCCUAAGUUCUUGUUUAUUGUGUUAUGUCUUUUGUUUGGGUUUGCUAUGUGUUUGGUUUUGUUUAUGCCUGUGUUCCCUCUGUCUGUCCACGGUGUCUGCUUGUAAGUCUGUUAAGUUCAGUGUCUUAUCAGGUCCUCUGUGUCUGUUUUCUGUUUUAUUCUGAAGGUCCUUGUCUCAUGUGGGUGUUUCUGUUUACGUUUCCCCGUCUCGUCGGGUGUGGUUUCUUCCAGGUGUGUUCCCCUCCUGUUUCCAUUCCCUGAUUACUCCCCUGUGUAUUUAAGCCCUGUGUUUUCCUGUGCUCUCUGUUGCAUCGUACUCUCACGUUACUGUGUUCUGUCUGCUACUUUGUUUUUGUAUUCUCAAUUUAGUUAAGUUCCUGUUCUGUUGCUAUCAGCAAUACAGCUGAGUAUUUUUGAGUCCUGCAUUUUGGGUCCUUUCUCCCUGCCUGCACACAGCCAUGACAAAAUACUAAUUUGAUGUUUCCCGUGCAUUAAUUUCAACAUGUGAUUCUUUGUUUUCUGAGCCCUAAACCAAUAAAU